GGGUUGCUUGGGAAUGCAGCCCAAAAUUGGUGGUAGACUCCAUCUAAAGCUAAAUACUGGCACGAGACCGAUAGCGAACMAGUACCGUGAGGGAAAGAUGAAAAGAACUUUGAAAAGAGAGUUAAAAAGUGCGUGAAACCGUUAGAGGGGAAGCGGAUGAAGUUAGCAAUGCCCCCGCGAGACUCAGGUGGAUGGCAUACCUCUGGAUGCGACGCGUGGCUGACGGAUCCGAAUGGACUGUCGUUACGUGGCCGUUCCAGCCAGCCGCCGCACUUCUCGUGCUGGGGCGCGUCAACAACUGCUGGACGACAGGGGCUAGACGGCACUCGCAGCGAAAGGUAGGCGUCUUACUAUGACUCGGCUACUUUGCGGUGGUCGAGGAGAUGCUGUUAUAGACGCUGUUGUGUCCCAGCUCCAGUCUGGCAGAGGCUAGCUAGCGGUGUGUGCUCGCAACUUCGGUCGUGGGCUGGCAUCCUGCUGCGUGUUCUUGUAGUCGUCAGCUGUGCACUGCUUGCAGUUCACUUCAGACGGUGAAAAGGCGCGUGCAGUGUAUGCACACUAUGUGCACCAUGGUUGUUGGCGGCCAUAUGGCUUCUUCCGACCCGUCUUGAAACACGGACCAAGGAGUCUAACAUGUGCGCGAGUCUUGGGGUGACCGAAACCCAGAGGCACAAUGAAAGUGAAGGCCGCCGUGCAARGGCACUGCUCUCGUGGCUGGUGUACUAGCCGGUGGCUUAGGUGAGAUCUCUGCUUGCCACCUCGUGGCUGGCAGUGGCGCAUCAUCGACCGACCUAUUCUACUCCUAGAAAGGUUUGAGUAA
This 820-nucleotide ribosomal RNA is filed under the name Cassiopea xamachana. RNAcentral describes it as "partial large subunit ribosomal RNA". Lineage: Eukaryota; Metazoa; Cnidaria; Scyphozoa; Rhizostomeae; Cassiopeidae. The record is from RNAcentral.